GACGGGGCCGCACAAGCGGUGGAGCAUGUGGUUAAUUCGAAGCAACGCGAAGAACCUUACCAGGUCUUGACAUCCCUGACAACCAAGAGAUUGGGCGUUCCCCUCGGGGGACAGGGUGACAGGUGGUGCAUGGGUUGUCGUCAGCUCGUGUCGUGAGAUGUUGGGUUAAGUCCCGCAACGAGCGCAACCCUCGCCUCUAGUUGCCAGCAUUCGGUUGGGCACUCUAGAGGGACUGCCGGCGACAAGUCGGAGGAAGUGGGGAUGACGUCAAAUCAUCAUGCCCCUUAUGACCUGGGCUACACACGUGCUACAAUGGGCGGUACAAAGGGCUGCGAACCCGCGAGGGGGAGCGAAUCCCAAAAAGCCGCUCUCAGUUCGGAUUGCAGGCUGCAACUCGCCUGCAUGAAGCCGGAAUCGCUAGUAAUCGCGGAUCAGCAUGCCGCGGUGAAUACGUUCCCGGGCCUU
Molecule: ribosomal RNA, 465 nt
Filed under: uncultured Geobacillus sp.
Lineage: Bacteria; Bacillati; Bacillota; Bacilli; Caryophanales; Anoxybacillaceae
Description: bacterial SSU rRNA
Rfam family: Bacterial small subunit ribosomal RNA
Source: RNAcentral